RNAcentral lists this ribosomal RNA (1488 nucleotides) under uncultured Propionibacterium sp. Its description in RNAcentral is "bacterial SSU rRNA". It matches the Rfam family "Bacterial small subunit ribosomal RNA". The record is from RNAcentral. Lineage: Bacteria; Bacillati; Actinomycetota; Actinomycetes; Propionibacteriales; Propionibacteriaceae.
AGAGUUUGAUCCUGGCUCAGGACGAACGCUGGCGGCGUGCUUAACACAUGCAAGUCGAACGGAAAGGCCCUGCUUUUGUGGGGUGCUCGAGUGGCGAACGGGUGAGUAACACGUGAGUAACCUGCCCUUGACUUUGGGAUAACUUCAGGAAACUGGGGCUAAUACCGGAUAGGAGCUCCUGCUGCAUGGUGGGGGUUGGAAAGUUUCGGCGGUUGGGGAUGGACUCGCGGCUUAUCAGCUUGUUGGUGGGGUAGUGGCUUACCAAGGCUUUGACGGGUAGCCGGCCUGAGAGGGUGACCGGCCACAUUGGGACUGAGAUACGGCCCAGACUCCUACGGGAGGCAGCAGUGGGGAAUAUUGCACAAUGGGCGGAAGCCUGAUGCAGCAACGCCGCGUGCGGGAUGACGGCCUUCGGGUUGUAAACCGCUCUCGCCUGUGACGAAGCGUGAGUGACGGUAAUGGGUAAAGAAGCACCGGCUAACUACGUGCCAGCAGCCGCGGUGAUACGUAGGGUGCGAGCGUUGUCCGGAUUUAUUGGGCGUAAAGGGCUCGUAGGUGGUUGAUCGCGUCGGAAGUGUAAUCUUGGGGCUUAACCCUGAGCGUGCUUUCGAUACGGGUUGACUUGAGGAAGGUAGGGGAGAAUGGAAUUCCUGGUGGAGCGGUGGAAUGCGCAGAUAUCAGGAGGAACACCAGUGGCGAAGGCGGUUCUCUGGGCCUUUCCUGACGCUGAGGAGCGAAAGCGUGGGGAGCGAACAGGCUUAGAUACCCUGGUAGUCCACGCUGUAAACGGUGGGUACUAGGUGUGGGGUCCAUUCCACGGGUUCCGUGCCGUAGCUAACGCUUUAAGUACCCCGCCUGGGGAGUACGGCCGCAAGGCUAAAACUCAAAGGAAUUGACGGGGCCCCGCACAAGCGGCGGAGCAUGCGGAUUAAUUCGAUGCAACGCGUAGAACCUUACCUGGGUUUGACAUGGAUCGGGAGUGCUCAGAGAUGGGUGUGCCUCUUUUGGGGUCGGUUCACAGGUGGUGCAUGGCUGUCGUCAGCUCGUGUCGUGAGAUGUUGGGUUAAGUCCCGCAACGAGCGCAACCCUUGUUCACUGUUGCCAGCACGUUAUGGUGGGGACUCAGUGGAGACCGCCGGGGUCAACUCGGAGGAAGGUGGGGAUGACGUCAAGUCAUCAUGCCCCUUAUGUCCAGGGCUUCACGCAUGCUACAAUGGCUGGUACAGAGAGUGGCGAGCCUGUGAGGGUGAGCGAAUCUCGGAAAGCCGGUCUCAGUUCGGAUUGGGGUCUGCAACUCGACCUCAUGAAGUCGGAGUCGCUAGUAAUCGCAGAUCAGCAACGCUGCGGUGAAUACGUUCCCGGGGCUUGUACACACCGCCCGUCAAGUCAUGAAAGUUGGUAACACCCGAAGCCGGUGGCCUAACCGUUGUGGGGGAGCCGUCGAAGGUGGGACUGGUGAUUAGGACUAAGUCGUAACAAGGUAACCGU